GACGAACGCUGGCGGCGUGCUUAACACAUGCAAGUCGAACGAAGUGGCGAACGGGUGAGUAACGCGUAAUCAACCUGCCAUUCAGAGGGGGACAACAGUUGGAAACGACUGCUAAUACCGCAUACUGAAGGAGGGGAUUGCGUCUGAUUAGCCAGUUGGAGGGGUAACGGCCCACCAAGGGGAUGAUCAGUAGCCUGGCUGAGAGGAUGAACGGCCAAAUUGGGACUGGGACAAGGCCCAGACUCCUACGGGAGGGAGGAAGUGGGAAUCUUCCGCAAUGGACGAAAGUCUGACGGAGCAACGCCGCGUGAGUGAUGACAGGCUUCGGGUUGUAAAACUCUGUUAAUCGGGACGCGGUACCGGAAUAGAAAGCCACGGCUAACUACGUGCCAGCAGCCGCGGUAAUUC
This 408-nucleotide ribosomal RNA is filed under the name uncultured bacterium. Its description in RNAcentral is "partial 16S ribosomal RNA". It matches the Rfam family "Bacterial small subunit ribosomal RNA", at positions 28 to 526 of the family's 1533-position model. The record is from RNAcentral.